AGAUCCACCCCUGCCCGCAAAACAUUGCUCUUAACUUCACCGCCUAUCCCAAAACCUAUAAGAACUAAUGAUAAUCCACCACCCUUCACUGACUCUCUUUUCGGACUCAGCCUGCCUGCACCCAGGUGAAAUAAACAGCCAUGUUGUUCACACAAAGCCUGUUUGGUGGUCUCUUCACACGGACACGCAUGAAAUUUGGUGCCGUGACUCGGAUCGGGGGACCUCCCUUGGGAGAUCAAUCCCCCGUCUUCCUGCUCUUUGCUCCAUGAGAAAGAUCCACCUACGACCUCAGGUCCUCACACCGACCAGCCCAAGAAACAUCUCACCAAUUUCAAAUCCAAUCUUCUCGGCUUAGCGGCUGAAGACUGACACUGCCAGAUCGCCUCGGAAGCCCCCUAGACCAUCACGGAUGCCGAGCUUCGGGUAACUCUCACAGUGGAGGACAACUUCCAUCUUCACCAUGAGCUGGGAGGCAGGAGGAUAAUCUGGCUUCAGGAAGGAAGAAAAUGUUUGUAGUUCUGGGAACUCCAGCUCAUUUUUACCACUGCCUGACAGCCUCCACAGCAGGGUUUGUUUGAACCCCAAGGGAAAGGAUAUCUCAGCAGCUUCAGGGAGUGACUGCGUACUUUGGUGAAAAGCCCCAGCGAGCUCUUGGUUUAAGCUAAAAGGUCCAGCACGCCCACUACAAAAUCCUUGCAUUGCAUAGAUAACUUCCUGUAAUCGUUCUAACAGAAUAGAGAGAAAUCAGCGGUAUGUCACAUGGAGGCCCGCAGAUUGGCUUGCCCAGCAUAGCAGUGUCGAUCAGCAACUGCUCACCACAUGUGACCUUAUGGAGCACAUUGGAUGCACUUAUGGAACGCAGCAGGAUGUGCUGGGUGCAGAAGGCGGGGCAAUUUCUCUUGACACGUGACCUGAAGGACAUUUUCUCUAGGUCAGCAUGUGUGAAGGUGUGGUCCAUGGGCCACCUGCAUCAGAGUCACCUUAGCUGCGUGCUAAAGUUGCAGAUUCCCAGGUCCCACCCUAGACUUACUGAGUCAGAAUACCUG
RNAcentral lists this long non-coding RNA (1046 nucleotides) under Homo sapiens (human). RNAcentral describes it as "HSALNT0329701". Lineage: Eukaryota; Metazoa; Chordata; Mammalia; Primates; Hominidae. The record is from RNAcentral.